This 253-nucleotide ribosomal RNA is filed under the name uncultured bacterium. RNAcentral's name for it is "partial 16S ribosomal RNA". It matches the Rfam family "Bacterial small subunit ribosomal RNA", at positions 524 to 776 of the family's 1533-position model. The record is from RNAcentral.
UACAGAGGUCUCAAGCGUUGUUCGGAAUCACUGGGCUUAAAGGGCGCGUAGGCGGGCCGCCAAGUCCGCGGUGAAAUCCCCCGGCUCAACCGGGGAACUGCCGCGGAUACUGGAGGUCUCGAGGGGGGUAGGGGCAUGCGGAACUGCGGGUGGAGCGGUGAAAUGCGUUGAUAUCCGCAGGAACUCCGGUGGCGAAGGCGGCGUGCUGGACCCUUUCUGACGCUGAGGCACGAAAGCGUGGGGAGCGAACAGG